UUAUAAUCAAAAGCAAAUAAUUAUAGCUGAAUAUAUAUUCCAUCGUCCAUAUUCUUAAUUUGAAUUACAAAAACAGAUUAUACAUUUGCCUAUCAUUUGACUAUUAAAUAUGCAAAUACAAAUUAAAUACUUGACUACUUGAAUAUUUCUUUUCACUAUAACAGCCGCAUCACAAUGAUUCGAAAGUGUACCUGAUAGUAGAAACAGAAAAAGAAAGUGAAGAUCAGUAGACCAGUAGCUAACAACAGCGACAAUCAGCACCAAGCAGUACAACAACAACCAGUAAACCCAGCUUAAACGAAACGGAAAACCCCAGCAAUACCAAAAUGAAACACAGACAGAUGCAAGGAAACAAUAAUUUCUGAUUUUCAAAUAAGAAAAGUAGCCUGACAACUCUUAGUGCAAAAGUUCAAACUCAACACUCUAACUCUUACUGUAAAGUUAUGAUUUUUACUUUCUAAACUUUUUCUUCUCUUUUCCAGUAUUCUUUUUCCAGAUCUCUUCUUUCUUUUUAGUCCAGUUUUUAUCUCUUUUUCAGUCUUUUUUUUUUCUUCUAAAAUCUGUUGUCCUCCCCCCUUUUCUGUCCAGACCCUCCCCUCUCUUUAUACAAGUAUGUCCCCUCUCCUUAAGUGCUGCCCGACCCUUCUUCUUUUCAAAAAAUCAGAAUUCCCCACUCAAAAUCUGCUCUUUUUACUUUUAAAUCCCACUAAGGUCAAUUUUUCCUUAUUAUCAGCCCCCAUUCCCCUUUGUUCUCCAUUAAUGCAUUAAUUAAUUCCCCCAUUAAUAAAGCACUAACAAUAAAGUAUAAACCUAACUGUUUCAUUCCUAAACCAACCCUGAAAACCCUUAAUAUUACUGUCUUCCUAAAUGCAACUAUUCAAAAUGUAUUAAAACUUAAUUCUGAAAUCUGUUUAACUAACAAUUAACCAAAACUGAUUUGAUUACAGCUAUAACCAAUUCAGCUAGUACUUUAAAGCAGAAAAUACAUCAAACAUAAAAGUUUCAAGGAUUCAGAAUAAUGCUCAUAAUCAAAACAGAAUCUGAAUUAAUCGGAUAACUAACAAUUUGAAAACUAUAACCAACUGAAUGCCAACUGAUUUAAACUAUACGAAUGACCUAAUCAACGAAGCUUAAUUAACCGAUUACAUAUUAUAAUUAACACUGAACAAAUCAUCAACAAAGCAAUAGGCAAUCAAUGUUAUUGACAGAAUCAUGGACUAACAGGAAGCUAAUUAAUCGACGCAACUUAUUAAUCGAUUACACAAUUUAUAAAACAUAAUAAUUAAUGCAAAUGCAAACAAAUGACAGAAUGGACCCAAUAAAAGGUCCAUUGGAGAUGAACAAAGUCAAUUGACGAAAAGAAUUUUAAAAACUAUACAACAAAUAAACAGAUACACAAAGGUUUUAAAAAAAAGGAACAAAUACAAAGGAAAGAAGAAGAAAUACCUCAUAAUACCAGAACUAUACGGACCCAGGCUCGAAACUCGGAUUCGGACAACUUUGAGAUCGAACAGACCUUAGUCGAAGUGUUCUCAACUGAGAACACUUCGAUUAAGGUCAAUUAGACCCCAACCCCUUCACAUCGUUGAGUCUGUCAACUAUAACCAUUUUAAUCCUAAUUCGAACCUCACCAACUAACAAACUACAACCUAUAAUUAGUUUACCACUGGAUUUAGACAACUAUUUAAUCAGAAUCAGACAGUAUGAAUCAAGUUGUUGCCUUUCAAGACUGUAAAAAACAAACGACAAUAUGUAUCGAAUCGACUUUGCGAGUUACAACGUAUACUAAUCAGUCGACAACAGAAGCAUGCUAAAACAGAACACACAGGUGAUUCAUGUGUUUUCGGACAAAACAUGGAAUUUAUGAAACUUAAUUAUUCGACGACGUUACUCAAAUCGACUAUACGAACUAUUACAUGUAACAACCAAUCGACAAACAACAUAGACUAAACAGGCCACCAAAUUAUUUCAAUUUUCGGGACACUUAGCAGGGAGCUUACGAAACUUAACUACUCGACGAUAUUAGUCGAAGCGAAUAGAUAUCUCAUAACAUACACUUAACACUGAAUAGAAGAGAAAUCGACCAAAUAAAGGGUCUUUGAAGAUGAAGAGGAUUGACAGAAAAAUAAUCAAAAAAUCAAUACAAAUCCACUAACACACGAAUAACACAUAAACAGAAGGAAAGAAAAGAAAAUUACCUCGGAAGCUUAAGCAUCAAAACGAUCCAGGCCUGAACCGGACUCAUUAGGAUAUGAGGGAGAUUCGAACGAAACCAACAUUGAUUAGGGUAUGAGGGAUGUCAGGGGAGU
Molecule: long non-coding RNA, 2309 nt
Filed under: Nicotiana tabacum (common tobacco)
Lineage: Eukaryota; Viridiplantae; Streptophyta; Magnoliopsida; Solanales; Solanaceae
Description: long non-coding RNA (NTAB_LNC017993)
Source: RNAcentral